UGAAAUAUGAAAUAAUCUACAAAGUAAUUUGAUCCAGCAAUUAAAAACAAGGACAUGAAUUACACUAACAACUGUCACAUAGAAAGAAUUAAUUCCCUCAUAACGCCGCUUGAUGUUACAGACCCUGGGUGAUUAGGAACAGAUUGUAAUUGGAAAAGAGCCAAACCAAUUCAGGUAUCUCCAAAACACAGGAGUAAGCCUCGACUUGCAAAGAGAGAACAUUUUUUACUACCCACAGGAGUAUCUUUCUGCAACUGGAGCUACGGCAUUUACCUAGCGAUUACUCAAGAUACCCACAAUGCAGCGCUGCGAGGUAGCAACUGCCACCGGCGGUGCCACGGGUCCGUGCUGAGGACCAAGUACACCAUUUGUGGAAAGCGGGCCUUAGGCGGUUUCUAGAAACCGAUUUCCCCUAAAUAUGGAUUAUUUGCUCCUUCUGGAAUGUACUCUGGAUAUAACAAUCUUAGGACUCUUGAGGUAUGUCAACUUGAUGUCCAGGAAGGCCACAUCACUGCCAACUCUUAGCAGAAAUGAUGUGCCAUCACUACUGCUACCAGCACUGACUGUUGCCUGUAUUAUAAUCUUUGCUGUUCAAUGUGAUCUUUCUAUAAUUUUAUUCUGUACUUUUUUGCACAACUGUGAAGUUAAAUGUUUUUCUCACUUUAGACCGCAAAUUUCCCUCUUUUGUAAUUUGUUCCAGUUAUCUAUUUAUUUGUCGUCAUCUUAUUCACAUAUUGUUUUGUGUAAAUCCUUUAAAUAAUAAGUAGUUUGGACAUACUUCAUUACUGUGACACAUUUUUUUGUCUUUCUUUUCUGAUUCAGUUUUAUUUAUUUUUAAUGGGAUCUAAAUAUGUAAUUCAAAAAAAUUUUUCCUUCUGUGUAUUUUCCUCUGUUUUUCAAAUGUAAGCCAUCCUUUCCUGUAGAGAGAACAAAUAAAUAUUCAUGUUCUGUUUUAUUUUUAUGAUUUUUAUUUGAAUUAUUUUUAUUGUAAUCUACCUGUAUAUAUUGUGGAACAUAGCAAAAGAUUAGGUUCUACAUUGAAUUUUGUUUCCAGUGAUUCCACUUCAUGUGUUAAUAAAUCAUCAUAGCUCUUUUGUCAUAAUAAAGUUCUCAUAUGUACAAAGGUUGGUUUCUGCAUUAUGCCUUUGUUUCUAGACUAUAAGCUUCAUUCAGGCAGACAAACUUACUGUGUUAUUACAUACCAUUUUCUGUUUGGUUUAAAGAAACCUAGUAAAGCAAAGGAGAUCAAAUUGUCUUUAGAGAAUUGAAAGCCCAGC
This 1277-nucleotide long non-coding RNA is filed under the name Chinchilla lanigera (long-tailed chinchilla). RNAcentral's name for it is "lncRNA (ENSCLAG00000024946.1)". Lineage: Eukaryota; Metazoa; Chordata; Mammalia; Rodentia; Chinchillidae. The record is from RNAcentral.